AGAUACUCAAAAUAUUAAAAGAAAUUUUGAAUUCAAAGAAUCUACAAAUGCACAUUCCUUUGGAUGUCAGAAUGAUAGCAUCAUCACAGGUCACAUAGCCUCUGGGAAACUCCACUGCAUACUCCCCAUUGGAUGGGACUGAAAAAAGGCAAAUUGUAUCCUCAGUUCAGUUCAGUUGCUCAGUCGUGUCCGACUUUUUGCAGCCCCAUGAAUCGCAGCACGCCAGGCCUCCCUGUCCAUCACCAAUUCCCUCAGUUUAACCAAAUCAUAUCCUAGUUUGUUGCAAAAAUAGUUUUAACCCCACAGACCCCAAUAAGGGUCCUUUAAGACCUCACUCUAAGAACUGCUGACUAAUCCAAAUGUUGUCUUUGUUCUCGAUCAGGAAACAGGCUCAGCAAUGGGGAAUUGGCCUCUCUCAUCAGCUUCCCCACUCCCUGUCACGGCCACAGGUGCUUUCCAGCUCUCAAGAGCGCCUUCUCCUUUCCCUAUGCCCUGGACCUCUUCCUUUGUUGUUCACGGACUGCAGCGUGCCAGGCUUUCCCCAUGUACCUCUUCCUACGUAAGUGUAUCAGCAUUUGAUGGUCUAAUUCAUUCUAUUCUGGGUGGGAGGCUAAGUUGAUGUGACCAUUUCUUUUUUAAAAUUAAUUUUUAUUGGAGUAUGUGUACGUGCAUGCCAAGUCACUUCAGUCUUGUCCGACUCUGCAACCCCAUGGACUAUAGCCUGCCAGGCUCCUCUGUCCGUGGGGAUUCUCCAGGCAAGAAUACUGGAGUGGGUUGCCAUGCCCUCCUCCAGGGCAUCUUUCCAACCCAGAUAUGGAACAUGAGUCCCUCAGGUCUCUGGCCCUGGUAGGUGGGUUCUUAACCAGCUAAGCCAUCAGGAAAUCUGCUUUAUAAACUUGCGUUAGUUUCUACAGUACAGCAAAAGGAAUCAGCUAUAUGUAUAUAUGUUCCCUCUUUCUUGGAUUUCCUUCCCAUUUAGGUCACCACAGAGCGGUGAGAAGAGUUCCCUGAGCUACACCGUCAUCUCUAACUAGUUAUCUCCUCUAUGUACAGUAUCUGUAGUGGACAUGGCCAUCCCAAUCUCCAGAUUCAUCCCCCCCACCAUGUGACCAUUUAUAGUACUUACUCUGUGUGUGACCAUUUGGCAGGGGUCUCCAACCCUCAAAACAGAUCAAUACUGGUCCAUGGACCUGUUAGGAACCAGGCUCCACAGCAAGAGUUGAGCUGGUGAAGCUUCAUCUGCUGUUCCCCAUCGCUUGGAUUACCGCCUGAACCAUCAUCCCCUAGUCCCAGCGCCAGUCCAUGGAAAAACUGUCUUCCAUGAAACCAGUCCCCGGGGCCAAACUACGUAGAGAGCUGAUUCGACAUGGAAUUCUUAGUCAAGAAGCAGGCUCUUGUCCAGGCUGCUGCUGCUGCU
RNAcentral lists this long non-coding RNA (1417 nucleotides) under Bos mutus (wild yak). RNAcentral describes it as "lncRNA (ENSBMUG00000001315.1)". Lineage: Eukaryota; Metazoa; Chordata; Mammalia; Artiodactyla; Bovidae. The record is from RNAcentral.